GGGUGUGAGAGUGAUCUGGCUGCCACAUCUGUCACCUCAUUGAUUGCCAGGCUGGCUGCAUUAGUGCUGGAUGGCUAGGCUGGAGUUUCCUUUCUCCCUUACCUUUCCAUUGCAUCUCUUCUUGAGUUGCAUGCUGUCAAAGAAGACAUCCUUUUCUAACAGGGUGGACCAUUCUUCAGAGAAGAGCAUGCUUA
RNAcentral lists this small nuclear RNA (194 nucleotides) under Tupaia belangeri chinensis (Chinese tree shrew). RNAcentral's name for it is "Tupaia chinensis (Chinese tree shrew) 7SK RNA". It matches the Rfam family "7SK RNA". From Rfam's summary of the family: 7SK was discovered as an abundant small nuclear RNA in the mid-70s but a possible function has only recently been suggested. Two independent studies have found that 7SK RNA binds the CDK9/cyclin T complex (known as elongation factor P-TEFb). P-TEFb activates transcription by phosphorylating the C-terminal domain of RNA polymerase II. The record is from Rfam by way of RNAcentral. Lineage: Eukaryota; Metazoa; Chordata; Mammalia; Scandentia; Tupaiidae.